Stegostoma tigrinum is the source of this 3853-nucleotide long non-coding RNA. RefSeq lists it as uncharacterized. The transcript has 7 exons. Lineage: Eukaryota; Metazoa; Chordata; Chondrichthyes; Orectolobiformes; Stegostomatidae. The record is from RefSeq and is a predicted model, not a curated record.
ACCACGUGACCAUCCACGAGAGCGGUCCAGAGUCGCUGAGAUAAUCAGAACUGCAGAUACCAGAGACUCCGAGAUAACACGGUGUGCAGCUGGAUGAACACAGCAGGUCAAGCAGCAUCAGAGGAGCAGGAAAGCUGACGUUUCGGGCCUAGCUCCUUCGUUGAGACCAAGAUUUGUGCAAUUGAGAUGCCAGCGAUCGUUGCCAAAGCCCUGUUGCCUGUGGAGAAGGUGAUAUUUAACUUUUGUGUGCUGCUGCAGUUCGUAUGAUGAAGGUGCUCCCACAAUGCGGUCAUUUGAGAAGUUACAGAUCGUUCAUCUCCGAUACUGAAGAGCUGAUGGAUAUUACAAGUGGACUUUCAGGUGGGAAGCUCAAUAAUUAUAACACCAAACUGACUGAAUUACUCACUUCUUCAGGAUCUGGAUAUUCACAUUGUGUAUUUCCACAAUUUUACUUCUGCACCAUUAUUCGUCUUUGAAGGAUCGAAAGGUUGAGUUACAGAUCUAUACAAUGCCUGUCCUUCCUCCCUGGCUCUCCCACCUCUCUCUCUUUUGGUAGUUUUGUGCAAACAUUGACUGGAUCCUUUAACUGGAGGAUAUUUAUGAAUUGAAUUUGUUCUAAUGAUAAUCCAGAAUAUUCCCCAAGUAUCGCUCCACAAAUGUCCAGAGAAUUUCUGUUUCACAAUCUGUGUUCGUCUGGUUUCUUAUUCACUGCACUUAGUUGCUGUUUGAAAGUAUAGUUGGACAAACUGGCAGAAAGCUAGCCACCACGAUACAUGAACAUCAACUAGCCACAAAACGACAUGACCCACUAUCACUCGUAUCCUUCCAUACAGACAAGGAAGGACACCACUUUGAUUGGGAUAACACAUCCAUCCUAGGACAAGCCAAACGGAGACACUCACGAGAAUUCCUAGAAGCAUGGCAUUCCAACCGGAACUCCAUCAACAAACACAUUGAUUUGGAGCCAAUCUACCAUCCCCUGAGAAAAAGAACAGGAAGUGACAUCACCAAUGCAGGAAAAGACAUCACCAACCCAAGGCAACCUAACCAGAUAAAUAGAAAGUGGGACAUAACACCAGCGCUUCGUCGGAGGCUCACUGAUGAUGUUACCUAGAAUGGUGACGAAACGUCUGAAAACUAACCUUGCAGCUCAGCGAUCAAACUCACAUCCAGUAUAGUCUGCAGUUGGAGAAUUCGAGCAGUUCCACAUCCAGGUCUGACAGUCACUUUGUUUAUCACAGCCUAAUUUUCUCAGGAUUUUGAACAUUGAAGGAAAAAGCAGCACUCACAUUGGGGAGAAAUGCACACGGUCUGUGUGUCGAAGAGUCUGUAAACAUUCAUCUGAAAUGCCCGCAUACCAGAGUAGUGAUACUGGAGAGAGACUGUGGAAAUAUGCAGAUUGCAGGAAGGAAUUUCUUCAUUCAUCCCAGCUAGAAACUGACCACCAGAGUCACACUGGAGAGAGACCAUUCACCUGCUCUGAUUGUGGAAUGGGAUUCACUCAGUCAUCAAACCUGCUUAAACACCAGAGAGUUCACACUGGAGAGAAACCAUUUACUUGCUCGGAAUGUGGGAAAGCAUUCACUCAGACACUUCAAAUGCUGAUACACCAGUGAAUCCACAUUGGAGAGAGAGUAUUGACCUGUUCUGUGUGUGGAAAAGGUUUUGCCGACUCGAUUCCCUGCUGAUACACCAGCGACUUCACUCUGGGGAGCGACCAUUCAUGAGCUCUGAGUGUGGGAAGGGAUUCACUGUCAUCCAAGCAGAUACCAGCGAUCGUUGCCAAAGCCCUGUUGCCUGUGGAGAAGUUUAACCUUCGUGUCCUGCUGCAGUUUGUAUGAUGAAGGUGCUCCCACAAUGCGGCCAUUUGAGAAGUUACAGAUCAUUCAUCUAGCGAUACUGAAGAGCUAACGGUGAUAUUGCAAGUGGACUUUCAGGUGGGAAUCUCAAUAAUUGUAGCACCAAACUCUGACAGAAUUACUCAAUUCAUCAGGACCUGGAUAUUCGCAUUAUAUUUCCACAAUUUUACUUCUGCACCGUUCUUAGUCUUUCGAGCCCUCUGAAAGACUGAGUUACAGAUCUAUACAAUGCCUGUCCUUCCUCCCUGGCUCUCCCACCUCUCUCUUAUGGUAGGUUUGUGCAAACACUGACUGGAUCCCUUACCUGGAGGAUAUUUAUUUAUGAAUUUGUUCUCAUGAUAAUCCAGCAUAUUCCCCAAGUAUCACUCCACAAAUGUCCAGAGGAUUUCUCAGUUUCACAAUCUGUGUGUGUUCUUCUGGUUCCUCGCUCACUGCACUUGCUUUCUGUUUGAAAGCUUAGUCUACAGUUGGAGAAUUCAAACAGGAACACAUCCAGAUCUGACAGUUACUUUGUUCAUCACAACUCAAUUACCUCAGGAUUUUGAACACUGAAGGAAAAAGCAGCACUCACAGUGGGGAGAAAUGCACAUGGUCUGUGAAGAUUCAUCUGAAAUGUCCUUACACCAGCUCAGUGACACUGGGGAGAGACCAUUCACCUGCUCUAAAUGUGGGAAAGCAUUCACUCAGUCAUCCAAACUGUUAACACACCAGUGGGUUCGCAAAGCAGCACAGUUGAAGGAUUUUGCUGUCACUGUCACUAUCAAAUGAACCAUGGUUUUGGGCUGUUUGUACUGAUGUUACUGAUCCCGGUUCAAUUCAAGGUACUGGUAUUGUGGAUAAAAUGUUAAUCAGUUGUGUAUCUGUCAGGUAGAGCUUGGAAAUAGUCACGUUGUCAUGACACAUCGACACAUUCACACUGACGAAAGACUAUCCACCUGCACGGUAUGUGAAAAGGGAUUUCCCGGUUCGUCAGGACUGGUUAACUAGCAGCAAAUUUCUGAGUAACUGUUAAGUUGGUUUUUGAUUCUGCUGUUAGCUAUAUACAAACCAUGUUUUUUGGGCUUGUUUCUGGAGACCAUAGGAUCCCUCCGGUGUGGAAGCAGACCAUUUAGCCCAUCAAGUCCACACUGAACUUAUGAAGAGUGUCUUACCCAGACCCUGCCUGCGUGGGUUUCCUCCAGGUUCCUCCCACAGUCCAAAAAUAUGCAAAUUGGGUAGAUUGACUAUGCUAAAUUGCCCGUAGUGUCACGUGUGUAAAAUGCAGGGACUGGGUAGGGUGGGAUGCUCUUUGGAGGGUUCGUGUGGACUCGAUGGACUGAAUGGCCAUCUUCCACACUGUAAGAAUUCUAUGAUGAUCUUGAUGGCCCUUUAUUUGUUAGUUAUGUCUGGUCAAUAUGUCUGUGCACCAUUUACAAUUACGGAUUCUAUUGCUCUCCACAGACAUGUUUCAAUUUUUAAUAGAUAUUUGUUUAUUGGAAACAAUGCAAUCUUUCCUUUUGAUUUCUAUCCACAAAAUGAAAGUUUUAAAUCGAAACAUAAAAUUGGGAUGAGUCCUGCACUACAAUCCCUGAUUGGGGAAAAUGCAAUCAGCUAUGAAACCUGGUGACCAUUGUGACUCUGUCCGGGGGAAAUGCAGUCUCCUCAGAUCCUUACCUGUUGUCCAUAGCAAUGAUGGAUCUCAUGAUGAAUACAUAUACACUAGAUAUCACACAAUGUCUUGGUUUAUUUUCUAUUUAUUCUUCUGUCCAUUACUCCACAGAGACUGAGAUAACGGUCUGGGGACCUAGGUUUGAAACCCACCAUUCCAGAUGGUAGAAUUUGAGUUUAAACAAAAAAAUCUGAAAUAAGAAUCUAAUGAUGACUGUAAAUCUGUUUUCAUUGUUGGAAAAACCUAUGUCUUUUAGGGAAGGAAACUGCCAUUCUUGUCCAGGGAUAUCAAGAUCCCAUGAAUGAAUUUUUAAAAAUUAAUUUUAAAUAAAACUCCUGCAAAUACA